CACGUAGGCGGAUAUAUAAGUUAGAUGUGAAAUAGUUGGGCUUAACCUGAUUGCUGCAUUUAAGACUGUACAUCUAGAGUUUGAUAGAGGAGAGAGGAAUUUCCGGAGUAGCGGUGAAAUGCGUAGAUAUCGGAAGGAACACCAGUGGCGAAGGCGACUCUCUGGAUUAAGACUGACGUUGAGGUGCGAAAGUGUGGGGAGCAAACA
Molecule: ribosomal RNA, 207 nt
Filed under: uncultured bacterium
Lineage: Bacteria
Description: partial 16S ribosomal RNA
Rfam family: Bacterial small subunit ribosomal RNA
Source: RNAcentral